GUUAGGAAUAUUGGACAAUGGGCGAAAGCCUGAUCCAGCCAUGCCGCGUGAACGAUGAAGGCCUUCGGGUUGUAAAGUUCUUUAGCCGAUGAUUAUAAUGACUGUAGUCGGAAAAUAAGCCCCGGCUAACUUCGUGCCAGCAGCCGCGGUAAUACGAAGGGGGCGAGCGUUAUUCGGAAUCACUGGGCGUAAAGCGUGCGUAGGCGGUUUUGUAAGUUAGGAGUGAAAGCCCAGGGCUCAACCUUGGAAUUGCUCUUAAAACUGCAAGGCUCGAAUCUCGGAGAGGAUAGCGGAAUUUCCAGUGUAGCAGUGAAAUGCGUAGAUAUUGGAAGGAACACCAGUGGCGUAAGCGGCUAUCUGGACGAGUAUUGACGCUGAGGCACGAAAGCGUGGGGAUCAAACAGGAUUAGAAACCCCGGUAUCC
RNAcentral lists this ribosomal RNA (424 nucleotides) under uncultured bacterium. RNAcentral describes it as "partial 16S ribosomal RNA". It matches the Rfam family "Bacterial small subunit ribosomal RNA", at positions 354 to 795 of the family's 1533-position model. The record is from RNAcentral.